Molecule: long non-coding RNA, 390 nt
Filed under: Daucus carota (carrot)
Lineage: Eukaryota; Viridiplantae; Streptophyta; Magnoliopsida; Apiales; Apiaceae
Description: long non-coding RNA (DCAR_LNC004479)
Source: RNAcentral
CUCCACCAGAUUAUUAGCUUGAAUUACUGCCAUUGAAAAUUCUCCGCUUACAUGGGAUCCUAAAUCUUUAUACCACAUCAAUCCAUUACUCCGUCCAUUAUCAUCCCCACCACCUCUACGACUUCCAUCGCCCUCCACAGACGGUUUCCAACAAGGUUUAAUCAUGAUUUCCUCUUCAAUCAAUAUCCAACCAGUUGAAUAUAUACCAAAAACGCAACCAACCUUCCAGAUUAUAUAUUCAUUAAAUCACACAGAAACAAACCCCACACCAACAUAUAAUAUAUAUUAUCCAAAUGAUCCAGCAAACAAUAAAUUCAUUAAAUCAAGCCUGAGCUCCAACUUUUGUUUAUGCUCCAAACCCACAACUCCAAUUCCUGAUACAAUAUACCC